This 395-nucleotide ribosomal RNA is filed under the name bacterium enrichment culture. RNAcentral describes it as "bacterial SSU rRNA". It matches the Rfam family "Bacterial small subunit ribosomal RNA", at positions 521 to 916 of the family's 1533-position model. The record is from RNAcentral.
UAAUACGUAGGUGGCGAGUGUUGUUCGGAAUCACUGGGCAUAAAGGGUGCGUAGGCGGGAAAUCAAGCAGGAUGUGAAAUCCUAUGGCCCAACCAUAGAAUUGCAUUCUGAACUGGUUUUCUUGAGUGCAGCAGGGGAGUGCGGAAUUCCCGGUGUAGGGGUGAAAUCUAUAGAUAUCGGGAAGAACACCGGUCGCGAAGGCGGCACUCUGGGCUGUAACUGACGCUGAGGCACGAAAGCGUGGGUAUCGAACCGGAUUAGAUACCCGGGUAGUCCACGCUGUAAACGUUGUACACUUGGUGGUUGUCUCACAAGGGAUGGCUGCCGAAGCGAAUGUGAUAAGUGUACCGCCUGGGGAGUAUGGUCGCAAGGCUGAAACUUAAAUGAAUUGACGG